This 2921-nucleotide ribosomal RNA is filed under the name Staphylococcus aureus. Its description in RNAcentral is "23S ribosomal RNA". It matches the Rfam family "Bacterial large subunit ribosomal RNA". Lineage: Bacteria; Bacillati; Bacillota; Bacilli; Caryophanales; Staphylococcaceae. The record is from RNAcentral.
UUAAGUUAUUAAGGGCGCACGGUGGAUGCCUUGGCACUAGAAGCCGAUGAAGGACGUUACUAACGACGAUAUGCUUUGGGGAGCUGUAAGUAAGCUUUGAUCCAGAGAUUUCCGAAUGGGGAAACCCAGCAUGAGUUAUGUCAUGUUAUCGAUAUGUGAAUACAUAGCAUAUCAGAAGGCACACCCGGAGAACUGAAACAUCUUAGUACCCGGAGGAAGAGAAAGAAAAUUCGAUUCCCUUAGUAGCGGCGAGCGAAACGGGAAGAGCCCAAACCAACAAGCUUGCUUGUUGGGGUUGUAGGACACUCUAUACGGAGUUACAAAGGACGACAUUAGACGAAUCAUCUGGAAAGAUGAAUCAAAGAAGGUAAUAAUCCUGUAGUCGAAAAUGUUGUCUCUCUUGAGUGGAUCCUGAGUACGAUGGAGCACGUGAAAUUCCGUCGGAAUCUGGGAGGACCAUCUCCUAAGGCUAAAUACUCUCUAGUGACCGAUAGUGAACCAGUACCGUGAGGGAAAGGUGAAAAGCACCCCGGAAGGGGAGUGAAAUAGAACCUGAAACCGUGUGCUUACAAGUAGUCAGAGCCCGUUAAUGGGUGAUGGCGUGCCUUUUGUAGAAUGAACCGGCGAGUUACGAUUUGAUGCAAGGUUAAGCAGUAAAUGUGGAGCCGUAGCGAAAGCGAGUCUGAAUAGGGCGUUUAGUAUUUGGUCGUAGACCCGAAACCAGGUGAUCUACCCUUGGUCAGGUUGAAGUUCAGGUAACACUGAAUGGAGGACCGAACCGACUUACGUUGAAAAGUGAGCGGAUGAACUGAGGGUAGCGGAGAAAUUCCAAUCGAACCUGGAGAUAGCUGGUUCUCUCCGAAAUAGCUUUAGGGCUAGCCUCAAGUGAUGAUUAUUGGAGGUAGAGCACUGUUUGGACGAGGGGCCCCUCUCGGGUUACCGAAUUCAGACAAACUCCGAAUGCCAAUUAAUUUAACUUGGGAGUCAGAACAUGGGUGAUAAGGUCCGUGUUCGAAAGGGAAACAGCCCAGACCACCAGCUAAGGUCCCAAAAUAUAUGUUAAGUGGAAAAGGAUGUGGCGUUGCCCAGACAACUAGGAUGUUGGCUUAGAAGCAGCCAUCAUUUAAAGAGUGCGUAAUAGCUCACUAGUCGAGUGACACUGCGCCGAAAAUGUACCGGGGCUAAACAUAUUACCGAAGCUGUGGAUUGUCCUUUGGACAAUGGUAGGAGAGCGUUCUAAGGGCGUUGAAGCAUGAUCGUAAGGACAUGUGGAGCGCUUAGAAGUGAGAAUGCCGGUGUGAGUAGCGAAAGACGGGUGAGAAUCCCGUCCACCGAUUGACUAAGGUUUCCAGAGGAAGGCUCGUCCGCUCUGGGUUAGUCGGGUCCUAAGCUGAGGCCGACAGGCGUAGGCGAUGGAUAACAGGUUGAUAUUCCUGUACCACCUAUAAUCGUUUUAAUCGAUGGGGGGACGCAGUAGGAUAGGCGAAGCGUGCGAUUGGAUUGCACGUCUAAGCAGUAAGGCUGAGUAUUAGGCAAAUCCGGUACUCGUUAAGGCUGAGCUGUGAUGGGGAGAAGACAUUGUGUCUUCGAGUCGUUGAUUUCACACUGCCGAGAAAAGCCUCUAGAUAGAAAAUAGGUGCCCGUACCGCAAACCGACACAGGUAGUCAAGAUGAGAAUUCUAAGGUGAGCGAGCGAACUCUCGUUAAGGAACUCGGCAAAAUGACCCCGUAACUUCGGGAGAAGGGGUGCUCUUUAGGGUUAACGCCCAGAAGAGCCGCAGUGAAUAGGCCCAAGCGACUGUUUAUCAAAAACACAGGUCUCUGCUAAACCGUAAGGUGAUGUAUAGGGGCUGACGCCUGCCCGGUGCUGGAAGGUUAAGAGGAGUGGUUAGCUUCUGCGAAGCUACGAAUCGAAGCCCCAGUAAACGGCGGCCGUAACUAUAACGGUCCUAAGGUAGCGAAAUUCCUUGUCGGGUAAGUUCCGACCCGCACGAAAGGCGUAACGAUUUGGGCACUGUCUCAACGAGAGACUCGGUGAAAUCAUAGUACCUGUGAAGAUGCAGGUUACCCGCGACAGGACGGAAAGACCCCGUGGAGCUUUACUGUAGCCUGAUAUUGAAAUUCGGCACAGCUUGUACAGGAUAGGUAGGAGCCUUUGAAACGUGAGCGCUAGCUUACGUGGAGGCGCUGGUGGGAUACUACCCUAGCUGUGUUGGNUUUCUAACCCGCACCACUUAUCGUGGUGGGAGACAGUGUCAGGCGGGCAGUUUGACUGGGGCGGUCGCCUCCUAAAAGGUAACGGAGGCGCUCAAAGGUUCCCUCAGAAUGGUUGGAAAUCAUUCAUAGAGUGUAAAGGCAUAAGGGAGCUUGACUGCGAGACCUACAAGUCGAGCAGGGUCGAAAGACGGACUUAGUGAUCCGGUGGUUCCGCAUGGAAGGGCCAUCGCUCAACGGAUAAAAGCUACCCCGGGGAUAACAGGCUUAUCUCCCCCAAGAGUUCACAUCGACGGGGAGGUUUGGCACCUCGAUGUCGGCUCAUCGCAUCCUGGGGCUGUAGUCGGUCCCAAGGGUUGGGCUGUUCGCCCAUUAAAGCGGUACGCGAGCUGGGUUCAGAACGUCGUGAGACAGUUCGGUCCCUAUCCGUCGUGGGCGUAGGAAAUUUGAGAGGAGCUGUCCUUAGUACGAGAGGACCGGGAUGGACAUACCUCUGGUGUACCAGUUGUCGUGCCAACGGCAUAGCUGGGUAGCUAUGUGUGGACGGGAUAAGUGCUGAAAGCAUCUAAGCAUGAAGCCCCCCUCAAGAUGAGAUUUCCCAACUUCGGUUAUAAGAUCCCUCAAAGAUGAUGAGGUUAAUAGGUUCGAGGUGGAAGCAUGGUGACAUGUGGAGCUGACGAAUACUAAUCGAUCGAAGACUUAAUCAA